RNAcentral lists this ribosomal RNA (535 nucleotides) under Colletotrichum gloeosporioides. RNAcentral's name for it is "eukaryotic LSU rRNA". The stretch from base 162 to 315 matches the Rfam family "5.8S ribosomal RNA". Lineage: Eukaryota; Fungi; Ascomycota; Sordariomycetes; Glomerellales; Glomerellaceae. The record is from RNAcentral.
CGCUCUACACCCUUUGUGACAUACCUACAACUGUUGCUUCGGCGGGUAGGGUCUCCGCGACCCUCCCGGCCUCCCGCCUCCGGGCGGGUCGGCGCCCGCCGGAGGAUAACCAAACUCUGAUUUAACGACGUUUCUUCUGAGUGGUACAAGCAAAUAAUCAAAACUUUUAACAACGGAUCUCUUGGUUCUGGCAUCGAUGAAGAACGCAGCGAAAUGCGAUAAGUAAUGUGAAUUGCAGAAUUCAGUGAAUCAUCGAAUCUUUGAACGCACAUUGCGCCCGCCAGCAUUCUGGCGGGCAUGCCUGUUCGAGCGUCAUUUCAACCCUCAAGCUCUGCUUGGUGUUGGGGCCCUACAGCCGAUGUAGGCCCUCAAAGGUAGUGGCGGACCCUCCCGGAGCCUCCUUUGCGUAGUAACUUUACGUCUCGCACUGGGAUCCGGAGGGACUCUUGCCGUAAAACCCCCCAAUUUUCCAAAGGUUGACCUCGGAUCAGGUAGGAAUACCCGCUGAACUUAAGCAUAUCAAUAAGCGGAGGAA